AACGAACGCUGGCGGCAUGCCUAACACAUGCAAGUCGAACGAGACCUUCGGGUCUAGUGGCGCACGGGUGCGUAACGCGUGGGAAUCUGCCCUUGGGUUCGGAAUAACAGUUAGAAAUGACUGCUAAUACCGGAUAAUGUCUUCGGACCAAAGAUUUAUCGCCCAGGGAUGAGCCCGCGUAGGAUUAGCUAGUUGGUGAGGUAAAGGCUCACCAAGGCGACGAUCCUUAGCUGGUCUGAGAGGAUGAUCAGCCACACUGGGACUGAGACACGGCCCAGACUCCUACGGGAGGCAGCAGUGGGGAAUAUUGGACAAUGGGCGAAAGCCUGAUCCAGCAAUGCCGCGUGAGUGAUGAAGGCCUUAGGGUUGUAAAGCUCUUUUACCCGGGAUGAUAAUGACAGUACCGGGAGAAUAAGCCCCGGCUAACUCCGUGCCAG
Molecule: ribosomal RNA, 437 nt
Filed under: uncultured bacterium
Lineage: Bacteria
Description: bacterial SSU rRNA
Rfam family: Bacterial small subunit ribosomal RNA
Source: RNAcentral